CAGUAGCCGCGGUAAUACAGAGGAUGCAAGCGUUAUCCGGAAUGAUUGGGCGUAAAGCGUCUGUAGGUGGCUUUUCAAGUCCGCCGUCAAAUCCCAGGGCUCAACCCUGGACAGGCGGUGGAAACUACCGAGCUGGAGUACGGUAGGGGCAGAGGGAAUUUCCAGUGGAGCGGUGAAAUGCGUUGAGAUCGAAAAGAACACCAACAGCGAAAGCACUCUGCUGGGACGACACUGACACUAAGAGACGAAAGCUAGGGGAGCAAAUGGGAUUAGAGACCCCGGUAGUCCCUGUCUCUUAUAC
RNAcentral lists this ribosomal RNA (301 nucleotides) under uncultured bacterium. RNAcentral describes it as "partial 16S ribosomal RNA". It matches the Rfam family "Bacterial small subunit ribosomal RNA", at positions 509 to 807 of the family's 1533-position model. The record is from RNAcentral.